RNAcentral lists this long non-coding RNA (640 nucleotides) under Olea europaea subsp. europaea. The record is from RNAcentral. Lineage: Eukaryota; Viridiplantae; Streptophyta; Magnoliopsida; Lamiales; Oleaceae.
CUCUAGUUAAAUUGCAAUUCCACAAUAUAUUUGAGCUGGACAACAAUAAACCUGUCAAUUUUUUUCUUCAAUUUUGAAUCUGUCAAUCCCUUUCGUUCUUCAAUUUUGAAUAUUUCAAUACAUCAAAUUGCAGUUCUACAAUAUAUUUGAUUUCUCUAAUCAAUCCUGCUUCUUCUUCAACUUUUAAUUACAGAAACAAUAGCUACCCAUUUAAUUCCUUCCAUUAUUUUUCGAAAAUUUUGUCUACAAUUUCGUUUGGUGUUAGAGUUCAGUGAAUUCAUGGCUGUCAAAAAAUUUCGUCCUAUGACCAAAGAUUAAUCGUCAGACACUUACUUGAGAUGUAUAGAUGAAAAGAGGCGUCUUCUUCAGUUGGGCGUGGUGGUUGCUUCGCGGCGGUGGUAGAUUGGAGCAACAUUUGAACAUUUUUGAUGUUGACACUUCUUCUUCUUCACCGAUUUUGCAGCUGGUCAGAGACGAAGAUGAUUUUGAUGGUGUUAUCUCGCCGUCGUUAAUGGAGAAAGGUGGAUAUGGGAAUGGAGAGGGUGGGAAGGGUUUUGAAUUUGAGGGAGAAAUGUGAGAAGACAAAUAAGGGCUGCCCCAUUUCCAUUCUAUCAUUUUUCCCUUUUUUUUUUAAUUCUUG